AUUGAACGCUGGCGGCAUGCCUUACACAUGCAAGUCGAACGGCAGCGCGGGGGCAACCCUGGCGGCGAGUGGCGAACGGGUGAGUAAUAUAUCGGAACGUACCCAAGAGUGGGGGAUAACGUAGCGAAAGUUACGCUAAUACCGCAUACGAUCUAAGGAUGAAAGUGGGGGACCGCAAGGCCUCACGCUCCUGGAGCGGCCGAUAUCUGAUUAGCUAGUUGGUGGGUAAAGGCCUACCAAGGCAUCGAUCAGUAGCUGGCCUGAGAGGACGACCAGCCACACUGGGACUGAGACACGGCCCAGACUCCUACGGGAGGCAGCAGUGGGGAAUUUUGGACAAAUGGGGGGCAACCCUGAUCCAGCAAUGCCGCGUGAGUGAAGAAGGCCUGGUUGUAAGACUCUUUGUCUAGGGAAGAAACGGUUAGGGG
RNAcentral lists this ribosomal RNA (428 nucleotides) under uncultured bacterium. RNAcentral's name for it is "bacterial SSU rRNA". It matches the Rfam family "Bacterial small subunit ribosomal RNA", at positions 29 to 460 of the family's 1533-position model. The record is from RNAcentral.